Molecule: long non-coding RNA, 656 nt
Filed under: Setaria viridis
Lineage: Eukaryota; Viridiplantae; Streptophyta; Magnoliopsida; Poales; Poaceae
Description: long non-coding RNA (SVIR_LNC009301)
Source: RNAcentral
AUCUUUAAUCCCAAAUAACUUGUCCUGGUUGGAAAAAUUGAGAUUUAGGAGGUUUUCCAACCGGGACGAAUGCUCGUUUCUCUACUGGUGACACUAAAAGAUCACAUAUAGAUCGAUGUAGCUAUAAACCUGUCUUGAGGGGAAAAGGAUAUGAUAUGUUCUUAGGACAAUAAUUAUUUAGUGGAAGCAUGUACCACGUUCCUCGUUUUAAAUACAGGGGUUAUGCAUUGCUGGUGGUUUUCAAUCAGUUCUUGUAGGGUGUCAGUGUGUUACUACUGGAACAAAUCAAAUUCAUAAUUCUGGGGUGUGGCAGGGAGAAAACUCAAAAUCAAUUAAACAAUUAUUUGAAUAUAAACAUUGCGUGGUCAACAUUGAUCCACCUGAUCAAAGCUCCCGGCCGUUUCAAGGGGUUUUCUUUUAUUAAGGGUCUGAAAAAGGGCAAGUUCGCUUACGCAGCAGCCAGUGAUUUAAAGAGUAUUACCUUACUGUGAACGCAAAGUUCUAGCAGACCAUUCAGCUUAUGAAAAUAAUAGAAUUAUCGAAAUGGACUAGUAUGACUAUGACAUCACUGCAUUAUUGUUUUAAAUUAUGGCCUAAAAUAAUGUCCACUAUCUUAUAGUUACUGCCGUUUGGUAGGAUGUCUGCAGUCUGAUUCU